Small nucleolar RNA from Apodemus sylvaticus (European woodmouse), 130 nucleotides. RefSeq annotates it as small nucleolar RNA SNORA17. The record is from RefSeq and is a predicted model, not a curated record. Lineage: Eukaryota; Metazoa; Chordata; Mammalia; Rodentia; Muridae. The transcript has a single exon.
AUUGUCUGCCAUUGCAGAUGUGACUGCUGUGUCACAUGUUCGUUAGUAGGUGGCAGAGGGGGGAGAGACUGACUGUGCCUCACUCAGUGUUCUGACCUGUGACCAUCUGAAUGGUUAGUGACCUAACGUU